RNAcentral lists this ribosomal RNA (499 nucleotides) under uncultured bacterium. Its description in RNAcentral is "partial 16S ribosomal RNA". It matches the Rfam family "Bacterial small subunit ribosomal RNA", at positions 28 to 507 of the family's 1533-position model. The record is from RNAcentral.
GACGAACGCUGGCGGCGUGCCUAAUACAUGCAAGUCGAGCGAAGUUUUUCUGGUGCUUGCACCGGAAAAACUUAGCGGCGAACGGGUGAGUAACACGUAAAGAACCUGCCUCAUAGACUGGGACAACUAUUGGAAACGAUAGCUAAUACCGGAUAAUAGCAUUAACUGCAUGGUUGAUGUUUAAAAGUUGGUUUUGCUAACACUAUGAGAUGGCUUUGCGGUGCAUUAGCUAGUUGGUGGGGUAAAGGCCUACCAAGGCGACGAUGCAUAGCCGACCUGAGAGGGUGAUCGGCCACACUGGGACUGAGACACGGCCCAGACUCCUACGGGAGGCAGCAGUAGGGAAUCUUCCGCAAUGGGCGAAAGCCUGACGGAGCAACGCCGCGUGAGUGAAGAAGGAUUUCGGUUCGUAAAGCUCUGUUGUUAGGGAAGAAUGAUUGUGUAGUAACUAUACACAGUAGAGACGGUACCUAACCAGAAAGCCACGGCUAACUACGUG